This 221-nucleotide ribosomal RNA is filed under the name Rhizobium sp. RNAcentral's name for it is "partial 16S ribosomal RNA". It matches the Rfam family "Bacterial small subunit ribosomal RNA", at positions 125 to 366 of the family's 1533-position model. Lineage: Bacteria; Pseudomonadati; Pseudomonadota; Alphaproteobacteria; Hyphomicrobiales; Rhizobiaceae. The record is from RNAcentral.
UCUACCCAUCCUUGCGGACAACUCCGGAAACUGGGGCUAAUACCGCAUACGCCUURGGGGGAAAGAUUAUCGGGGAUGGAUGAGCCCGCKUUGGAUUAGCUAGUUGGUGGGGUAAAGGCCUACCAAGGCGACGAUCCAUAGCUGGYCUGAGAGGAUGAUCAGCCACAUUGGGACUGAGACACGGCCCAAACUCCUACGGGAGGMAGCRGUGGGGAAUAUUG